GAUGAACGCUAGCGGCAGGCCUAACACAUGCAAGUCGAACGGUAACAGAUCUUUCGGGAUGCUGACGAGUGGCGCACGGGUGCGUAACGCGUAUGCAACCUACCCUUAACUGGGGGAUAGCCCAUGGAAACGUGGAUUAAUACCCCAUAAUAUAAUUUAUUCGCAUGUUUAAAUUAUUAAAACUUCGGUGGUUAAGGAUGGGCAUGCGUAAGAUUAGCUAGUUGGUGAGGUAACUGCUCACCAAGGCGACGAUCUUUAGGGGGCCUGAGAGGGUAACCCCCCACACUGGUACUGAGACACGGACCAGACUCCUACGGGAGGCAGCAGUGAGGAAUAUUGGGCAAUGGACGAAAGUCUGACCCAGCCAUGCCGCGUGCAGGAAGACGGCCCUAUGGGUUGUAAACUGCUUUUAUAUAGGAAGAAACCCCCGAACGUGUUCGGGGCUGACGGUACUAUACGAAUAAGGACCGGCUAACUCCG
Molecule: ribosomal RNA, 480 nt
Filed under: uncultured Flavobacteriales bacterium
Lineage: Bacteria; Pseudomonadati; Bacteroidota; Flavobacteriia; Flavobacteriales
Description: bacterial SSU rRNA
Rfam family: Bacterial small subunit ribosomal RNA
Source: RNAcentral